AUUGAACGCUAGCGGGAUGCUUUACACAUGCAAGUCGAACGGCAGCGCGGACUUCGGUCUGGCGGCGAGUGGCGAACGGGUGAGUAAUGUAUCGGAACGUGCCCAGUAGCGGGGGAUAACUACGCGAAAGCGUAGCUAAUACCGCAUACGCCCUACGGGGGAAAGCAGGGGAUCGUAAGACCUUGCACUAUUGGAGCGGCCGAUAUCGGAUUAGCUAGUUGGUGAGGUAACGGCUCACCAAGGCGACGAUCCGUAGCUGGUUUGAGAGGACGACCAGCCACACUGGGACUGAGACAAGGCCCAGACUCCUACGGGAGGCAGCAGUGGGGAAUUUUGGACAAUGGGGGCAACCCUGAUCCAGCCAUCCCGCGUGUGCGAUGAAGGCCUUCGGGUUGUAAAGCACUUUUGGCAGGAAAGAAACGUCGCGGGCUAAUACCCCGUGGAACUGACGGUACCUGCAGAAUAAGCACCGGCUAACUACGUG
Molecule: ribosomal RNA, 484 nt
Filed under: uncultured bacterium
Lineage: Bacteria
Description: partial 16S ribosomal RNA
Rfam family: Bacterial small subunit ribosomal RNA
Source: RNAcentral